This is a long non-coding RNA of Betta splendens (Siamese fighting fish), 1058 nucleotides long. RefSeq lists it as uncharacterized. Lineage: Eukaryota; Metazoa; Chordata; Actinopteri; Anabantiformes; Osphronemidae. The record is from RefSeq and is a predicted model, not a curated record. The transcript has 2 exons.
ACUGGACCACGGCACCAGCAGCGUUCAGCAUUAUAAAAAGGUACAGCAGAAAAUCUACAAACUCAUCUCUGUCCAGAGGUGACUGUGAGCAGAACUCAGAACCUUAUGUGCACAGUGUCGCUCCUAAUUUAGCGCAGUGGACAGAUGUGAAGUUACACAACCAAGCAGCUCAACGUUUUAGUUUAAACUAAACUGAAACUGACUCUCACUCACUCCUUUCUUUGAAACUACUUUACUUUGAAGGUCAGAGUGAACCCACAGCGGAACGGUUUUUUUUUUGGAGCGGACCGACGCUGGUUCUGCUCCACUUUAGGACCAGCGGUCCCGUUUAAACUUCAGUUCUUAGCGUCAACAACCAGCUGAGGCAGUGACGUUGUCUGCGUGGGGCCCGGGACGUCGCUCAUGCAGUCUGACCUCCAUGAGCUCUGAGCGGAGCUCGUCCGGACGCGGGUCCCGCCGCGUCCGCACCAACAGGUGGACGCGGCGGGACGCCGCUAACGCAGGAGCCUGGCGCUCAGCGAACGCAGCCUCCUCGUGCUAGUUUGUGCGCUAAUUCUGGGCUGUCGUGUGUUUGUCUGCCUCUGACCGCCGCCUCCUGUGAUCGGGCUCCGAUAAGUGCUGACACGCACCGACCUCAUGUCCCGGAGCCAGGCGGCGGCUCCGUUAGCAGCCGCUCCGCUUGAACGCUCACCUGAACGCAGGCGUCGAGCGUCCGACGUCAAACUUCGCUUCGUUGUUGUUGUCGAAAGACGCACACUACGUCACCGGCCAAGACCCGUCGACGGUGGAUGACGUGAGCAGGCGCGUGGCCUCUUGGGACUUGUAGUUACCUUAGGGCCACAUGUCGACUUAGACUUUCAGAAAACGCUUUUUUUCCUAAAGAGUGAGGUCUUAAAGCUGUAAACUGGCGAUAUAAAGAUCAAAUUGUUCACAUCUACAACAGUGAAUACAAUAUUACAAGUAAAAAAACUGAACAAUGUCGCAGUGCAAUGAGUUUUUCAUCUAGUCACUCUAGUCCUGGAUAAAAACUGUCCUAAGUGAAACUGUCAGAUCAGACU